Molecule: long non-coding RNA, 416 nt
Filed under: Homo sapiens (human)
Lineage: Eukaryota; Metazoa; Chordata; Mammalia; Primates; Hominidae
Description: HSALNT0224576
Source: RNAcentral
AUUUCACUUUGGAAAACUUGAGUUUACAUAAUAACACGAAGAAACACACAAUAUCUAUAACCUCCAUCCUUUCCAAAGCCAUUGUCUGGGAGUUUUGGAACCACUGACUGACUCUUCGAGCACCAGGCUUUUCCCUUGGUCCUCAGCACUGGGUGGGGAGCCCUACAUCCCAGAAGUCUUGGGAAACAGGGUGGAGCGGAAUCGCCUAUCACAGCCAAACAAGACUCUCCAGGAGGAAAUACAGCAGAGACCUGCUCAGGGCUUAGCAAACAGUGACAAAGGUGAGGUGAAGCCAGUCUGGACGCACACCAGUUCGGGAUGAUCUGAGGAAUGUCAGGCAGUCCCUAUAUCCUCAGAUGUGUCCCCAUCCACCUGGCACAUGUCUGGAACUUCGCCAUUACAGAGACUUCAGUGUC